This 1044-nucleotide ribosomal RNA is filed under the name Atranus pubescens. RNAcentral's name for it is "partial 28S ribosomal RNA". The record is from RNAcentral. Lineage: Eukaryota; Metazoa; Arthropoda; Insecta; Coleoptera; Carabidae.
UACGCUCUUGGUGCGCCGCAACUCGCAAUGAGUACGCGACGCCCCGGGAAUGCGAGGUAACAUAAAUAUCGUUACCCAUCUUCCCUAUAAUUAAUGAAUUAAUAAAAAUUCAAAAAAUAUUUACUUUCAUUACGCCUUUAGGUUUAAUAAAAGUAUCCCAAUGACUUGCGCACAUGCUAGACUCCUUGGUCCGUGUUUCAAGACGGGUCCUAUAAUUACCCAAAACAUAAACGCCGUUGACAGAUGAUAAGAAACGGUUCGAGAACAUCAUAACUAACAAUACCAAAUGUGUAGAACCGGCAUAAACUCCGAUUUCCACACUUAAUAAGUCAUUUGAGUAUUUGUUAUAAGUCUGAAACGCUCACUAAAAUAUUAUAGCGAUCCAUCAUCAUAUAUAUUACCAUCAGACAGAUGUCGGGACAUUAUUAGUCCGUGAACGCACAAGCCAUAAACUUGACGCCACGGUCUCCAUAAUAAGCCUUAGACAACAUAAUCCAAUGGGUCACGACGUCCUACUAGAGGAGAAGUGCACGCCUCCGUAUACAAAAUAGCAUAAAACAGUGGAGCACAAUAUGACAAUAUAUAAUAUAUAAAUAUCAUAAAUGCAUAUCAUGUCUCAUAUACAAUACACCGCUAUAUGUAUAUAUCCGGUAAGGCAAUUGAAUCUCCUCUUUCGAACUUUCGGGAAUUAUAGGUUUACCCCUGAACAGUUUCACGUACUCUUGAACUCUCUCUUCAAAGUCCUUUUCAACUUUCCCUCACGGUACUUGUUCGCUAUCGGUUUCGCAGUAAUAUUUAGCCUUAGAUGGAGUUUACCACCCACUUAGAGCUGCACUCUCAAGCAACCCGACUCUAAGGAGAAACCCACCAAAAUAUAUAAACGGUCACUACGGGCCUGGCACCCUCUAUGGGCGAAUGGCCCCCUUCAAGAAGGACUUGAACUCGCUUAUAAAUACUUUGGUUAAACGGGCUCUCCCAAACACUACAUUGCCCGACGACCGUUUCCGAUCGUGGGCUUCAGUGCUGGGCUUUUCCCUGGUCGCU